GUUUGAACAGGCUCACAAGAGUCAAUAUUAUCUGUUCAUCAUGAAUAUUUGUCCCUUAGAAUUAGGCAAAAGCUACAAAUCAGGGCUUGAUUUAUUGUUUUAUUGAUUGUCUAAACUUAAGAAAGUGAUGGAAAAAUGUUAAUAACACAAAUUAAACUUAAAAGUAUAUCUUGCUUUGGGAGAGAGAGACAAUUGUUAAACAUUUACUAGCACACCCCUACGUGGAAGUGUGAGUUUUUAUUCCAAAGAAAAGAAUAGCUAUUUGAAAGAGGAUAGAUUUGACAAAUUUGAGUUAUUAGAUGUUUCUUCUCCUGUGAAUACUCCAAAGGGUUUCUUUGCCUUUUUUGUUUACAGAAAACUAAAGGAACUCUUCAACCUCUUUCAUCAGAAGCCUUCUGGGAUAUAUUUCUCUCUUCAGCAGACCUCUACACUUUUUUUCCAUGUUAAGAUUUGAGACCCACAAUGGUCAGGGAACUGAAAGUUUCCAUCCCACAUAAGCUGAAGGUCUCCCUGGAUGUUGGCCUUUCUCCAGGAUCUCCGACUGGGAGGUGUCCAUGAAACUAAUCCAAGAGGAGAAAUAUAUUCCACAUCUGUGGUUUGGGCUAAUCAAGAGCUCUCAGUCAGAGAACUGAAAGUUUCCAUCCCACAUAGGCUGAAGGUCUCCCUGGAUGUUGGCUUUUCUCCAGAAUCUCUGACUGGGAGCUGCCUAUGA
RNAcentral lists this long non-coding RNA (712 nucleotides) under Sarcophilus harrisii (Tasmanian devil). Its description in RNAcentral is "lncRNA (ENSSHAG00000024231.1)". The record is from RNAcentral. Lineage: Eukaryota; Metazoa; Chordata; Mammalia; Dasyuromorphia; Dasyuridae.